AUUGAACGCUGGCGGCAUGCCUUACACAUGCAAGUCGAACGGCAGCACGGGUGCUUGCACCUGGUGGCGAGUGGCGAACGGGUGAGUAAUACAUCGGAACGUACCUUAUCGUGGGGGAUAACGCAGCGAAAGCUGUGCUAAUACCGCAUACGCCCUGAGGGGGAAAGCGGGGGAUCGAAAGACCUCGCGCGAUUAGAGCGGCCGAUGCCUGAUUAGCUUGUUGGUGGGGUAAAAGCCCACCAAGGCGACGAUCAGUAGCUGGUCUGGGAGGACGAUCAGCCACACUGGGACUGAGACACGGCCCAGACUCCAACGGGAGGAAGCAGUGGGGAAUUUUGGACAAUGGGGGCAACCCUGAUCCAGCAAUGCCGCGUGAGUGAAGAAGGCCUUCGGGUUGUAAAGCUCUUUUGUCAGGGAAGAAACACCGGCUCUAACACAGUCCGGGAAUGACGGUACCUGAAGAAUAAGCACCGGCUAACUACGUGCCAGCAGCCGCAGUAA
Molecule: ribosomal RNA, 501 nt
Filed under: uncultured bacterium
Lineage: Bacteria
Description: partial 16S ribosomal RNA
Rfam family: Bacterial small subunit ribosomal RNA
Source: RNAcentral